This 2726-nucleotide small RNA is filed under the name Drosophila pseudoobscura pseudoobscura. RNAcentral describes it as "GA30807". The record is from RNAcentral. Lineage: Eukaryota; Metazoa; Arthropoda; Insecta; Diptera; Drosophilidae.
UGGUUCCACCAUCGUAUUAGUUGUAUGUGUGUGUGUGUGUAUUGUAUGCGUGUGAUGUAAGGUCAUUCGCGUGAAAAUAUCAGCGAGGAAAAAAUCGAAUUUUUGUGUUUUGUGUGCUAGGUAAUUUCCGAAAAGCGUGCAAAAUCAAAAAGUUUAAUCAAAUGCCAAUGCAUCAGCGGUGUACGUGUGUAUAUUAACAAGCGGUGAACAUGUGAAAAAUUGUCAAGAAAUCAAAGGUGCUUGGUUGCCCAACGCAAAAAUUGUGACGAAAAGCACCAAAGUACUCUCGCACACACACACACACACAUGUGCUUAUACGCAUACUCUUGCAUGGCCAGAGGGAGCUUGGAGAGCUAGAACCCAACCUAGAGUUGUCAACGCUGUGCGAAGAAUUUCGUCAUUGAGAAGAAGAGUGUUUGAGCAUGUGUGUGUCUGUGUUUUGUGCGUGCCUUGUCACAGUGUGUGUGUGCGUGCUGGCGUGUGUGUGUUGGUAGUUUGUUCUCUUUGGUAGUAAAAUACAAAAGAAAAAUCAUCUCGACGGAAAAAUGUGAAAAAAUGUACAUAAUUCCGUACCUCAAGUAUGCAGCCAGUGCCCGCCUCCCUGCCAGUGCCCACCCCAAAUCAAAUUGAGAUGAAACACCGCGCUACCGAUUGAAAAACUAUUACAUAAAUAGUGCAAAGUGUAAAUGUUAUUGAAGGCAAAAAGAAGCGACGCCGCGCACGCUGUCGUCAUCGCCUGCUAAAAAAAAAAGAGAAAUAAAGAAAGAGAAGAAGAACGGUGAGGAGGAGGAAGAGCAGCCCCCGCUAAGUACCGCUAGCCAGCCAGGCAGCGAGCGGCCGAACGAAAACGCGUUACUUAUUUUUGCGAAAAAUACCAAUUGUUUGUGCUUCCAGUAUAUGCAUACGUACAUAAAUAUAUGUAUAAGUGAUGUUUGAUGAACAAAUCCAUUACAUAUAGGAUAUCGACGAAUUAUUGACCAUAUAAUGUGGAAAAUAAACUAAUAAUAUUUGCCAUGCUUGUGUGGAGUGUGGAGUGGGAGUGUGGUGGAGGGGAGUGGAAGGAAGUGAAAAGGAGCGGUGGAAUAGUGCGGGUGGGUGCGCCUGUGUGAGUGACCUCGCGUACAUGUGUCGCGUGCCUGCGACGGUGUUGGUGUGUGUGUGCGGUGGCAAGGAGUGUCAUGCGUAUAUUUUGCUGCCCCCCUGUUUCUUCUACUUCCCCCCUGCUGACCCACUGGCAAAGCCUAUCGACAACCACAGAGCAGCAGCAGCGGCGGCAGAGGCAGUGCUCCUUUUGCUCCAGCGAGUUUUAUCUUGUUUUCCCCAUUUUAAUCAUAUGCGGGCGCAGAGGAGAGACAACGACAAUCACGUCAUCCAGCCUGCGCCAUGACACACCAACAUCAACAUCAAUACAGUGAAUAAUGACAGCUAAAGAACGGCUUUGAACAGGUUUUGCCUCCUAUAAGCAGUGAGAAAUUAUGUUUUCUAUACGAUUUGUAUGGAAAAUUACAUUGCAUACCUCUAGGUCUCGGCAAAUAAUUUGAAAUCAUGAUUAUCGUGAUUCACGAAAGCCUGGUUUUACUGUACUCAACAUCAAUGAGAAAACACACACACGUGUGCACUAUAAAGUCAUUUGAAUGAACUUUUAUUGGCCCAGUGCCGCAGCGGCAGGGAGCCUGGGGGAAAUGAGAAUGGGAUGGGAUUGGGAUGUCCCCCGCCCGCUCUGGGGAUGCGUGAAUUUGAUUGCUAUUUCGAACGCCAUACGAGCUCAACUAAGCCUUUUAAUUAAACCAAUUAAAUAUGUUUAAUUCAUUUAAAUUCUCACUUGUUAAUAUUUGUUCAGUCCCCACAUUUGACCGACCGCCCCCUCCUUCCGACGUUCUGUCCGUCAGGCCAGGCCGAGCAUCGUCGGCACACUCUUUGUGUGUGUGUGUUAGUGGUUUGCGUGUGUGAGAAAGAGAGCAAAUAAACUGAGUCAUGGCUGACGAUGACGUUAUGCUGCUUAGCUGCGGUUAGAAGCAAUUUGUCUCCAAAGUGUUUAUGCUCAAAGUUUGCCAAUAAAGAACGGCGAAAGAAAAGAAACUUUCCUAGAAAUGUGCCCAACACAUAUACACAAACACACAAUUCCAUUCGAUUGACCUCGAAGCAGCUGGAAAGCAAAUCGAUAGUAUUGUUCGAUCGAUAACAUGUCACGCCGCCUGCUCUGGGGCCGCUACCUCUGCGCUCUCUCCCUCUCUCUCUUUUUUGCAUUACGGCAAACAGCUGAUUGCGCUGCCGCACAUUUUUAUAUUUUUCUCGCAAAAUUUGUAAAAAUAAAUAUAGUUGACGACGACGUUGUGUGUAUUCGGGCUGUUCGCCUUUUGUUCCGCUAGCGGUACUAAAUUAGACAAGUUCCCUGCUCAAAAGGAAAACAUGUACAAACCGAACAGAACCGCUUGAAACUGCUUGCAGAUCGAAGCAGUGGUCAGUUUUUGGACUGCGUCGGGGACUGGUCGUGGAAAUACAUAAAAUUAAAACCGAACGAAACACACACAACAGAGAACAGAGAAAGUAGAGGCACAAGAAGAAUUCGAAUAAUACGAAUUUUCCUUUAUUUUGCGAAAAUACAUAGGCUAAAAGAAAUUAAAAACAAAUAAAAUAUAGAAGAGCUGGAAGGAAUAGCUGGUUAAAUAAUAAAUAGGAAACAAAUUUCGAAUUGAAAAACAAAACACAAAAAGGAGACGAAAAAA